GAUGAACGCUGGCGGCGUGCCUAAUACAUGCAAGUCGAGCGAACAGACGGGGAGCUUGCUCCUUCGACGUUAGCGGCGGACGGGUGAGUAGCACGUAGGUAACCUACCUAUAAGACUGGGAUAACUUCGGGAAACCGGAGCUAAUACCGGAUAAUAUUUCGAACCGCAUGGUUCGAUAGUGAAAGAUGGCUUUGCUAUCACUUAUAGAUGGACCUGCGCCGUAUUAGCUAGUUGGUAAGGUAACGGCUUACCAAGGCAACGAUACGUAGCCGACCUGAGAGGGUGAUCGGCCACACUGGAACUGAGACACGGUCCAGACUCCUACGGGAGGCAGCAGUAGGGAAUCUUCCGCAAUGGGCGAAAGCCUGACGGAGCAACGCCGCGUGAGUGAUGAAGGUCUUCGGAUCGUAAAACUCUGUUAUUAGCGAAGAACAAACGUGUAAGUAACUGUGCACGUCUUGACGGUACCUAAUCAGAAAGCCACGGCUAACUACGUG
Molecule: ribosomal RNA, 497 nt
Filed under: uncultured bacterium
Lineage: Bacteria
Description: partial 16S ribosomal RNA
Rfam family: Bacterial small subunit ribosomal RNA
Source: RNAcentral